This 433-nucleotide ribosomal RNA is filed under the name uncultured bacterium. RNAcentral's name for it is "bacterial SSU rRNA". It matches the Rfam family "Bacterial small subunit ribosomal RNA", at positions 471 to 902 of the family's 1533-position model. The record is from RNAcentral.
GACGGUACUUGAGGAAUAACCCACGGCUAUUUCCGUGCCCGCCCCCGCGGUUAUACGGGAGUGGCAAGCGUUUUCCGGAUUUAUUGGGCGUAAAGCGUCCGCAGGCGGCCCUGUAAGUCUGUCGUUAAAGCGUGGAUCUUACCUCCAUUUAAGCGAUGGAAACUACGGGGCUUGAGUGUGGUAGGGGCAGAGGGAAUUCCCGGUGUAGCGGUGAAAUGCGUAGAUAUCGGGAAAAACACCAGUGGCGAAGGCGCUCUGCUGGGCCAUAACUGACGCUCAUGGACGAAAGCCAGGGGAGCGAAAGGGAUUAGAUACCCCUGUAGUCCUGGCCGUAAACGAUGAACACUAGGUGUCGGGGGAAUCGACCCCCUCGGUGUCGUAGCCAACGCGUUAAGUGUUCCGCCUGGGGAGUACGCACGCAAGUGUGAAACUC